UGGGGAAUAUUGCACAAUGGGCGAAAGCCUGAUGCAGCAACGCCGCGUGAGGGAUGACGGCCUUCGGGUUGUAAACCUCUUUUAGUAGGGAAGAAGUGUUUGCUUUCGUAAACAUGACGGUACCUGCAGAAAAAGCACCGGCUAACUACGUGCCAGCAGCCGCGGUAAUACGUAGGGUGCGAGCGUUGUCCGGAAUUAUUGGGCGUAAAGAGCUCGUAGGCGGUCUGUCGCGUCUGCUGUGAAAACCCGAGGCUCAACCUCGGGCUUGCAGUGGGUACGGGCAGACUAGAGUGCGGUAGGGGAGAAUGGAAUUCCUGGUGUAGCGGUGGAAUGCGCAGAUAUCAGGAAGAACACCGAUGGCGAAGGCAGUUCUCUGGGCCGUAACUGACGCUGAGGAGCGAAAGCGUGGGGAGCGAACAGG
Molecule: ribosomal RNA, 421 nt
Filed under: uncultured bacterium
Lineage: Bacteria
Description: bacterial SSU rRNA
Rfam family: Bacterial small subunit ribosomal RNA
Source: RNAcentral